Molecule: transfer RNA, 65 nt
Filed under: Pennisetia hylaeiformis (raspberry clearwing)
Lineage: Eukaryota; Metazoa; Arthropoda; Insecta; Lepidoptera; Sesiidae
Description: tRNA-His
Source: RNAcentral
AUUUAAAUAAUUUAAUUAAAAUAUUGAUUUGUGGAGUCAAAAAUAUGAGGAAAUCAUUUUAGAUA